This 407-nucleotide ribosomal RNA is filed under the name uncultured bacterium. RNAcentral describes it as "partial 16S ribosomal RNA". It matches the Rfam family "Bacterial small subunit ribosomal RNA", at positions 30 to 526 of the family's 1533-position model. The record is from RNAcentral.
AUUGAACGCUGGCGGCAGGCCUAACACAUGCAAGUCGAGCGGAGCGGCGGACGGGUGAGUAAUGCCUAGGAAUCUGCCUGGUAGUGGGGGAUAACGUCAGGAAACGGGAGCUAAUACCGCAUACUAUCAGAUGAGCCUAGGCCGGAUUAGCUAGUUGGUGGGGUAAAGGCCUACAAGGGCGAAGAUCCGUAACUGGUCUGAUAGGAUGAUCAGUCACACUGGAACUGAGACUCGUUCCAUGCUCCUACGGUCGGCAGCAGUGGGGAAUAUUGGACAAUGGGCGAAAGCCUGAUCCAGCCAUGCCGCGUGUGUGAAGAAGGUCUUCGGAUUGUAAAGCACUUUAAGUUGGGAGGCGUUACCAACAGAAUAAGCACCGGCUAACUUCGUGCCAGCAGCCGCGGUAAUUC